Molecule: ribosomal RNA, 253 nt
Filed under: uncultured bacterium
Lineage: Bacteria
Description: partial 16S ribosomal RNA
Rfam family: Bacterial small subunit ribosomal RNA
Source: RNAcentral
UACGUAGGGUGCAAGCGUUGUCCGGAAUUAUUGGGCGUAAAGAGCUCGUAGGCGGUUUGUCGCGUCGGCUGUGAAAACUGGAGGCUUAACCUUCAGCGUGCAGUCGAUACGGGCAGACUUGAGUUCGGUAGGGGAGACUGGAAUUCCUGGUGUAGCGGUGAAAUGCGCAGAUAUCGGGAAGAACACCCGUGGCGAAGGCGGCUCUCUGGGACGGUACUGACGCUGAGACGCGAAAGCGUGGGGAGCGAACAGG